This 251-nucleotide ribosomal RNA is filed under the name uncultured prokaryote. RNAcentral's name for it is "partial 16S rRNA". It matches the Rfam family "Bacterial small subunit ribosomal RNA", at positions 525 to 775 of the family's 1533-position model. The record is from RNAcentral.
ACGGAGGUGGCGAGCGUUGUUCGGAAUUAUUGGGCGUAAAGGGCGCGUAGGCGGUCUGGUAAGUCCGGUGUGAAAUCCCUCGGCUCAACUGGGGAAGUACAUUGGAAACUGUCAGGCUGGAGUGCGGGAGAGGGAAGGGGAAUUCCCGGUGGAAGGGUGAAAUGUGCAGAGAUGGGGAGGAACACCGGUGGCGAAGGCGCCUACCUGGACCGCUACUGACGCUGAGGCGCGAAAGCCAGGGGAGCAAACAG